UUAACUAUUAUAUAGUACUCAGACUUCACUAAUAUUCAGAGUUGGGUCCUUUGGCGGGCACGUACGAGCCGGAGCCCGUAGUGGAGACCACGGUCCGCCAAAGCAACAGAGGUAUAGAGACACGGGUUGCGAUAUCCUAGAAUCUAGUGCCCGAGAGGGGUUAGAAUGCUGGGGGUUUUAUCCCCCUCGGCUAACACAAUUCUACAACUCGGGCCACGGAUUGUAUAGGGGAGUACCCUAUCCAGUCCGCUUUUGUCUAGAGCUAGGGUUAUCUUUUUUAAUGAUCCUUCCGCAGGUUCACCUACGGAAA
RNAcentral lists this unclassified non-coding RNA (310 nucleotides) under uncultured fungus. Its description in RNAcentral is "sequence contains ITS1". The record is from RNAcentral. Lineage: Eukaryota; Fungi.